Oryza punctata is the source of this 207-nucleotide non-coding RNA. NCBI's taxonomy places the organism in Eukaryota, Viridiplantae, Streptophyta, Magnoliopsida, Poales, Poaceae. The record is from Rfam.
AAAGACUGCAGUUUUACACUAUUUAUGUUUAACGUUUGACCAUCCGUCUUAUUUAAAAAAAAAUAUGAUUAGUAUUUUUAUUGUUAUUAGGUGAUAAAACAUGAAUAGUACUUUAUGUGUGAUUAAUUUUUUAUAAUUUUUUCAUAAUUUUUUCAAAUAAGACGGAUGGUCAAACGUUAGACAUGGAAACCCACCACUACACUUAAA